GGUUCCAUAGUGUAGCGGUGAGCACUUCUGCUUUACACACAGAAGGUCCUGGGCUCGCACUCCAGUGGAGCUG
Molecule: transfer RNA, 73 nt
Filed under: Pteropus alecto (black flying fox)
Lineage: Eukaryota; Metazoa; Chordata; Mammalia; Chiroptera; Pteropodidae
Rfam family: tRNA
About the family: Transfer RNA (tRNA) molecules are approximately 80 nucleotides in length.
Source: Rfam by way of RNAcentral